This is a long non-coding RNA of Haliotis rufescens (red abalone), 1007 nucleotides long. RefSeq lists it as uncharacterized. Lineage: Eukaryota; Metazoa; Mollusca; Gastropoda; Lepetellida; Haliotidae. The record is from RefSeq and is a predicted model, not a curated record. The transcript is spliced from 2 exons.
AGCAUUGAUCCCGGGGAGUGCGAAGCCCAGAUGUCAGACACUGAUAGGACCACCACUACAGCAGUAGACAGCCUUCACGGAUACAUGCGGGUUCUCCUGAUGAGCUGUGACUUGGUGGUGGAGAUGGCAAUGUACUUACAACUAUCAGCAGAGUGUAUCAGCCAGAGCGGCCAGCGAUUUAGUCUGGUCUUCACACCAUUCCCUUCUUGUAAUGAGUCUGCUCAUCUUUCAAGGAUGUACAACUAAUGGAAGGAGGUUUCUGAAACACAUGCAAGAAGAUUUAAAGGUAAAGUAUGAAGGUACAAGGUAUUCAUGGUAAUGAUUCUGCAACAUAUGCAAUGCUUGUAAUCUCUAAGACACUGUAAAGGGAUCAAAGAUUACCUGAGAGACAGAUAGCCAGCAGCUCUAAACAAGCUGAAUACAGGUUCACAAUAUAACAACAAGAUCCGACCUUUGUUUCAUUAGUUGUAUUACAGUGGUGUUGUGAAGGCUAGUCCUCUCCAACAUAGUUUGACAUCAAUCAGUAGCCUGUCAUGAACCUAAUCCAUCAUGAUCAUGUCAGUUGGGAUGUUUUUCUACUUGAGCAAGCAAACCUUAUAACUGUGGUCUGAACAUUCUGUAUUCAGAGAGUGGCAUGUUGUCACUUUCACAAGUAACCAGGCAACUAGUCAAGUGGACUACUCCUUCAGAGAGAGGGACAGAAGCAACUGAAACACUGACAGCAAAAACAGGUAAAAGUGGAAUACACUUCCAAGGACAAACACAACUGGUGCGACUGAUGGGACAUGGUGAAGCCAAAAACCUUGAUAUGAAGCGAUCGAUCACCAACAAAUAUACAAUGCACAUUGAAGGAUACAGAUUGGCUGCAGGAAGAACAUAUCAAAUAAAUCAACAAGCAAAAUUAUUUAGAGACCAUGACAGCUUGUAAAAGAGCCGGAAAGAAAGGCAAGCUCAGAGUGGCUGAAGGGGUCGUUGUCGGCAUGGGUACUACAGAUAUGCAGUGGAAA